RNAcentral lists this non-coding RNA (102 nucleotides) under uncultured Caulobacter sp. RNAcentral's name for it is "Glycine riboswitch". It matches the Rfam family "Glycine riboswitch aptamer", at positions 7 to 88 of the family's 94-position model. Rfam says of the family: This family represents the bacterial glycine riboswitch. Glycine riboswitches usually consist of two metabolite-binding aptamers domains with similar structures in tandem. The aptamers cooperatively bind glycine to regulate the expression of downstream genes. Lineage: Bacteria; Pseudomonadati; Pseudomonadota; Alphaproteobacteria; Caulobacterales; Caulobacteraceae. The record is from RNAcentral.
CACGCUGGAAAGCAGGGCGCGAACCGCCCUCGCCGAAGGAGCAAGGCGCGCGGGCCCGUCAGAGGUCGCCGCUGAAUCUCUCAGGCCCAAGGACAGCGGGGG